CGGCAAAUGGGUGAGUAAUACAUAUGCAACCUGCCCGUAGCUGGAGAAUAGCUUCCGGAAACGGAAAUUAAUACUCCAUAAUAUUCUAGUAUCGCAUGUUAUUAGAAUUAAAGCUUCGGUGGCUACGGAUGGGCAUAUGUCCCAUUAGCUCGUUGGUGAGGUAACUGCUCACCAAGGCUACGAUGGGUAGGGGGUCUGAGAGGAUGAUCCCCCACACUGGUACUGAGACACGGACCAGACUCCUACGGGAGGCAGCAGUGAGGAAUAUUGGUCAAUGGGCGAAAGCCUGAACCAGCCAUGCCGCGUGCAGGAUGACAGUCCUACGGAUUGUAAACUGCUUUUCUGCAAGAAGAAAUGUUCCGACGUGUCGGGAUUUGACGGUACUGCAGGAAUAAGCAUCGGCUAACUCCGUGCCAGCAGCCGCGGUAAUACGGAGGAUGCAAGCGUUAUCCGGAUUCAUUGGGUUUAAAGGGUGCGUAGGCGGAUUAGAUAGUCAAAGGUGAAAGCCUGCAGCUUAACUGUAGAAGUGCCUUUGAUACUGCUAAUCUUGAGUACAGUUGAGGCGAGUGGAAUGUGUAGUGUAGCGGUGAAAUGCAUAGAUACUACACAGAACACCAAUUGCGAAGGCAGCUCGCUAAGCUGUUACUGACGCUCAGGCACGAAAGCGUGGGGAGCGAACAGGAUUAGAUACCCUGGUAGUGCACGCUGUAAACUAUGAUCACUAGCUGUUGGCGAUAAAUUGUCAGUGGCUCAGCGAAAGCGUUAAGUGAUCCACCUGGGGAGUACGAUAUCAAGGUUUAAACUCAAAGGAAUCGUCGGGGGCCCGCACAACACGGUGGAUACAUGUGGUUUAAUUUGAUGAUACGCGAGGAACGUUACCUGGGCUUAAAUGUAGCGAGACGUCUCGAGAAAUCGGGAUUCCCUUCGGGGCGAACUACAAGUGUGCUGCAUGGUUGUCGUCAGCUCGUCCCGUGAGGUAUCGGGUUAAGUCCCAUAACGAGCGCAACCCUAUUGUUAGUUGCCAGCGGAUAAUGCCGGGGACUCUAACAAACCUGCCCGUGUAAACGGGAGGAAGGUGGGGAUGACGUCAAAUCAGCACGGC
This 1102-nucleotide ribosomal RNA is filed under the name uncultured organism. RNAcentral describes it as "bacterial SSU rRNA". It matches the Rfam family "Bacterial small subunit ribosomal RNA", at positions 96 to 1199 of the family's 1533-position model. The record is from RNAcentral.